GCAGUCUUAGCACAUGCAAGUCGAACGGUAGCACAGAGAGCUUGCUCUCGGGUGACGAGUGGCGGACGGGUGAGUAAUGUCUGGGAAACUGCCUGAUGGAGGGGGAUAACUACUGGAAACGGUAGCUAAUACCGCAUAACGUCGCAAGACCAAAGAGGGGGACCUUCGGGCCUCUUGCCAUCAGAUGUGCCCAGAUGGGAUUAGCUAGUAGGUGGGGUAACGGCUCACCUAGGCGACGAUCCCUAGCUGGUCUGAGAGGAUGACCAGCCACACUGGAACUGAGACACGGUCCAGACUCCUACGGGAGGCAGCAGUGGGGAAUAUUGCACAAUGGGCGCAAGCCUGAUGCAGCCAUGCCGCGUGUAUGAAGAAGGCCUUCGGGUUGUAAAGUACUUUCAGCGGGGAGGAAGGUGUUGUGGUUAAUAACCCCACCAAUUGACGUUACCCGCAGAAGAAGCACCGGCUAACUCCGUGCCAGCAGCCGCGGUAAUACGGAGGGUGCAAGCGUUAAUCAGAAUUACUGGGCGUAUAGCGCGCGCAGGCGGUCUGUCAAGUCGGAUGUGAAAUCCCCGGGCUCAACCUGGGAACUGCAUUUUAAACUGGCAGGCUAUAGUCUUGUAGAGGGGGGUAUAAUUCCGGGUGUAGCCGUCACAUGC
RNAcentral lists this ribosomal RNA (656 nucleotides) under Klebsiella aerogenes. RNAcentral's name for it is "bacterial SSU rRNA". It matches the Rfam family "Bacterial small subunit ribosomal RNA", at positions 42 to 689 of the family's 1533-position model. Lineage: Bacteria; Pseudomonadati; Pseudomonadota; Gammaproteobacteria; Enterobacterales; Enterobacteriaceae. The record is from RNAcentral.